GCCGGGGUGGUGGAAUGGUAUACACGGAGGCCUUAAGAGCCUUUGUUCGCAAGGACAUAAGAGUUCGAGUCUCUUCCUCGGCAC
Molecule: transfer RNA, 84 nt
Filed under: Candidatus Levyibacteriota bacterium
Lineage: Bacteria; Candidatus Levyibacteriota
Description: Candidatus Levybacteria bacterium tRNA-Leu
Rfam family: tRNA
About the family: Transfer RNA (tRNA) molecules are approximately 80 nucleotides in length.
Source: RNAcentral